AACCUCCGCAAUGUACGAAAGUGCGACGGGGGGAUCCCAAGUGUUAUGCUUUUUUGUAUAACUUUUCAUUAGUGUAAAAAGCUUUUAGAAUAAGAGCUGGGCAAGACCGGUGCCAGCCGCCGCGGUAACACCGGCAGCUCGAGUGGUAGCUGUUUUUAUUGGGCCUAAAGCGUCCGUAGCCGGUUUGAUAAGUCUUUGGUGAAAGCUUGUAGCUUAACUAUAAGAAUUGCUGGAGAUACUAUCAGACUUGAAGUCGGGAGAGGUUAGAGGUACUACCGGGGUAGGGGUGAAAUCCUAUAAUCCUGGGAGGACCACCUGUGGCGAAGGCGUCUAACUGGAACGAUCUUGACGGUGAGUAACGAAAGCCAGGGCGCGAACCGGAUUAGAUACCCGGGUAGUCCUGGCCGUAAACGAUGUGGACUUGGUGUUGGAAUGGCUUUGAGUUGUUCCGGUGCCGAAGGGAAGCUGUUAAGUCCACCGCCUGGGAAGUACGGUCGCAAGACUGAAACUUAAAGGAAUU
RNAcentral lists this ribosomal RNA (520 nucleotides) under uncultured bacterium. RNAcentral describes it as "bacterial SSU rRNA". It matches the Rfam family "Archaeal small subunit ribosomal RNA", at positions 345 to 866 of the family's 1478-position model. The record is from RNAcentral.